RNAcentral lists this non-coding RNA (246 nucleotides) under Bacilli bacterium. RNAcentral's name for it is "T-box sequence". It matches the Rfam family "T-box leader". Rfam says of the family: Uncharged tRNA acts as the effector for transcription antitermination of genes in the T-box leader family. Lineage: Bacteria; Bacillati; Bacillota; Bacilli. The record is from RNAcentral.
GAUUAAGCAAUGACGAAGAAGAGUAAUCUAUGCUGACACUUAAGAGAGCUGGUGGUUGGUGCGAACCAGUGUGAUUACGUAGAUGAAUGGGCUUCCGAGCUUCCAAACCGAACUGAUCGAUUGUAGUAGGCUUUGGCGAUUUCGUCUCAUCGUUACCCGAGACAAUACAAAAGUUAUUUAACUUUGUAUUGCUAAAGUUGAGCUACUUAGCUAAUAAAGGUGGUACCGCGGUCCCUCGUCCUUUAA